ACAGCAGCCGCCGCGGUAAUACGGAGGGGGCUAGCGUUGUUCGGAAUUACUGGGCGUAAAGCGCACGUAGGCGGCUUGGUAAGUUAGAGGUGAAAGCCCGGGGCUCAACCCCGGAAUUGCCUUUAAGACUGCCGAGCUAGCAGGUGAGAGAGGUGAGUGGAAUUCCGAGUGUAGAGGUGAAAUUCGUAGAUAUUCGGAAGAACACCAGUGGCGAAGGCGGCUCACUGGCUCAUACUGGACGCUGAGGUGCGAAAGCGUGGGGAGCAAACAGGAUUAGAUACCCCUGUAGUCCCUGUCUCUUAUAC
RNAcentral lists this ribosomal RNA (305 nucleotides) under uncultured bacterium. RNAcentral describes it as "partial 16S ribosomal RNA". It matches the Rfam family "Bacterial small subunit ribosomal RNA", at positions 508 to 807 of the family's 1533-position model. The record is from RNAcentral.